AUACGUAGGGGGCGAGCGUUGUCCGGAAUGAUUGGGCGUAAAGGGCGCGUAGGCGGCCCGGUAAGUCUGGAGUGAAAGUCCUGUUUUUAAGAUGGGAAUUGCUUUGGAUACUGUCGGGCUUGAGUGCAGGAGAGGUAAGUGGAAUUCCCAGUGUAGCGGUGAGAUGCGUAGAGAUUGGGAGGAACACCAGUGGCGAAGGCGACUUACUGGACUGUAACUGACGCUGAGGCGCGAAAGUGUGGGGAGCAAACAGGAUUAGAUACCGUGGUAGUCCACACUGUAAACGAUGAAUGCUAGGUGUAGGGGGUAUCGACCCCUUCUGUGCCGCAGUCAACACAAUAAGCAUUCCGCCUGGGGAGUACGGCCGCAAGGUUGAAACUCAAAGGAAUUGACGGGG
This 397-nucleotide ribosomal RNA is filed under the name uncultured bacterium. Its description in RNAcentral is "partial 16S ribosomal RNA". It matches the Rfam family "Bacterial small subunit ribosomal RNA", at positions 523 to 918 of the family's 1533-position model. The record is from RNAcentral.